RNAcentral lists this ribosomal RNA (1835 nucleotides) under Staphylococcus aureus. Its description in RNAcentral is "partial 23S ribosomal RNA". It matches the Rfam family "Bacterial large subunit ribosomal RNA", at positions 1 to 1834 of the family's 2925-position model. Lineage: Bacteria; Bacillati; Bacillota; Bacilli; Caryophanales; Staphylococcaceae. The record is from RNAcentral.
GAUUAAGUUAUUAAGGGCGCACGGUGGAUGCCUUGGCACUAGAAGCCGAUGAAGGACGUUACUAACGACGAUAUGCUUUGGGGAGCUGUAAGUAAGCUUUGAUCCAGAGAUUUCCGAAUGGGGAAACCCAGCAUGAGUUAUGUCAUGUUAUCGAUAUGUGAAUACAUAGCAUAUCAGAAGGCACACCCGGAGAACUGAAACAUCUUAGUACCCGGAGGAAGAGAAAGAAAAUUCGAUUCCCUUAGUAGCGGCGAGCGAAACGGGAAGAGCCCAAACCAACAAGCUUGCUUGUUGGGGUUGUAGGACACUCUAUACGGAGUUACAAAGGACGACAUUAGACGAAUCAUCUGGAAAGAUGAAUCAAAGAAGGUAAUAAUCCUGUAGUCGAAAAUGUUGUCUCUCUUGAGUGGAUCCUGAGUACGACGGAGCACGUGAAAUUCCGUCGGAAUCUGGGAGGACCAUCUCCUAAGGCUAAAUACUCUCUAGUGACCGAUAGUGAACCAGUACCGUGAGGGAAAGGUGAAAAGCACCCCGGAAGGGGAGUGAAAUAGAACCUGAAACCGUGUGCUUACAAGUAGUCAGAGCCCGUUAAUGGGUGAUGGCGUGCCUUUUGUAGAAUGAACCGGCGAGUUACGAUUUGAUGCAAGGUUAAGCAGUAAAUGUGGAGCCGUAGCGAAAGCGAGUCUGAAUAGGGCGUUUAGUAUUUGGUCGUAGACCCGAAACCAGGUGAUCUACCCUUGGUCAGGUUGAAGUUCAGGUAACACUGAAUGGAGGACCGAACCGACUUACGUUGAAAAGUGAGCGGAUGAACUGAGGGUAGCGGAGAAAUUCCAAUCGAACCUGGAGAUAGCUGGUUCUCUCCGAAAUAGCUUUAGGGCUAGCCUCAAGUGAUGAUUAUUGGAGGUAGAGCACUGUUUGGACGAGGGGCCCCUCUCGGGUUACCGAAUUCAGACAAACUCCGAAUGCCAAUUAAUUUAACUUGGGAGUCAGAACAUGGGUGAUAAGGUCCGUGUUCGAAAGGGAAACAGCCCAGACCACCAGCUAAGGUCCCAAAAUAUAUGUUAAGUGGAAAAGGAUGUGGCGUUGCCCAGACAACUAGGAUGUUGGCUUAGAAGCAGCCAUCAUUUAAAGAGUGCGUAAUAGCUCACUAGUCGAGUGACACUGCGCCGAAAAUGUACCGGGGCUAAACAUAUUACCGAAGCUGUGGAUUGUCCUUUGGACAAUGGUAGGAGAGCGUUCUAAGGGCGUUGAAGCAUGAUCGUAAGGACAUGUGGAGCGCUUAGAAGUGAGAAUGCCGGUGUGAGUAGCGAAAGACGGGUGAGAAUCCCGUCCACCGAUUGACUAAGGUUUCCAGAGGAAGGCUCGUCCGCUCUGGGUUAGUCGGGUCCUAAGCUGAGGCCGACAGGCGUAGGCGAUGGAUAACAGGUUGAUAUUCCUGUACCACCUAUAAUCGUUUUAAUCGAUGGGGGGACGCAGUAGGAUAGGCGAAGCGUGCGAUUGGAUUGCACGUCUAAGCAGUAAGGCUGAGUAUUAGGCAAAUCCGGUACUCGUUAAGGCUGAGCUGUGAUGGGGAGAAGACAUUGUGUCUUCGAGUCGUUGAUUUCACACUGCCGAGAAAAGCCUCUAGAUAGAAAAUAGGUGCCCGUACCGCAAACCGACACAGGUAGUCAAGAUGAGAAUUCUAAGGUGAGCGAGCGAACUCUCGUUAAGGAACUCGGCAAAAUGACCCCGUAACUUCGGGAGAAGGGGUGCUCUUUAGGGUUAACGCCCAGAAGAGCCGCAGUGAAUAGGCCCAAGCGACUGUUUAUCAAAAACACAGGUCUCUGCUAAACCGU